RNAcentral lists this ribosomal RNA (1552 nucleotides) under Salmonella enterica subsp. enterica serovar Muenster. RNAcentral's name for it is "bacterial SSU rRNA". It matches the Rfam family "Bacterial small subunit ribosomal RNA". Lineage: Bacteria; Pseudomonadati; Pseudomonadota; Gammaproteobacteria; Enterobacterales; Enterobacteriaceae. The record is from RNAcentral.
AAAUUGAAGAGUUUGAUCAUGGCUCAGAUUGAACGCUGGCGGCAGGCCUAACACAUGCAAGUCGAACGGUAACAGGAAGCAGCUUGCUGCUUUGCUGACGAGUGGCGGACGGGUGAGUAAUGUCUGGGAAACUGCCUGAUGGAGGGGGAUAACUACUGGAAACGGUGGCUAAUACCGCAUAAUGUCGCAAGACCAAAGAGGGGGACCUUCGGGCCUCUUGCCAUCAGAUGUGCCCAGAUGGGAUUAGCUUGUUGGUGAGGUAACGGCUCACCAAGGCGACGAUCCCUAGCUGGUCUGAGAGGAUGACCAGCCACACUGGAACUGAGACACGGUCCAGACUCCUACGGGAGGCAGCAGUGGGGAAUAUUGCACAAUGGGCGCAAGCCUGAUGCAGCCAUGCCGCGUGUAUGAAGAAGGCCUUCGGGUUGUAAAGUACUUUCAGCGGGGAGGAAGGUGUUGUGGUUAAUAACCGCAGCAAUUGACGUUACCCGCAGAAGAAGCACCGGCUAACUCCGUGCCAGCAGCCGCGGUAAUACGGAGGGUGCAAGCGUUAAUCGGAAUUACUGGGCGUAAAGCGCACGCAGGCGGUCUGUCAAGUCGGAUGUGAAAUCCCCGGGCUCAACCUGGGAACUGCAUUCGAAACUGGCAGGCUUGAGUCUUGUAGAGGGGGGUAGAAUUCCAGGUGUAGCGGUGAAAUGCGUAGAGAUCUGGAGGAAUACCGGUGGCGAAGGCGGCCCCCUGGACAAAGACUGACGCUCAGGUGCGAAAGCGUGGGGAGCAAACAGGAUUAGAUACCCUGGUAGUCCACGCCGUAAACGAUGUCUACUUGGAGGUUGUGCCCUUGAGGCGUGGCUUCCGGAGCUAACGCGUUAAGUAGACCGCCUGGGGAGUACGGCCGCAAGGUUAAAACUCAAAUGAAUUGACGGGGGCCCGCACAAGCGGUGGAGCAUGUGGUUUAAUUCGAUGCAACGCGAAGAACCUUACCUGGUCUUGACAUCCACGGAACUUUCCAGAGAUGGAUUGGUGCCUUCGGGAACCGUGAGACAGGUGCUGCAUGGCUGUCGUCAGCUCGUGUUGUGAAAUGUUGGGUUAAGUCCCGCAACGAGCGCAACCCUUAUCCUUUGUUGCCAGCGGUCCGGCCGGGAACUCAAAGGAGACUGCCAGUGAUAAACUGGAGGAAGGUGGGGAUGACGUCAAGUCAUCAUGGCCCUUACGACCAGGGCUACACACGUGCUACAAUGGCGCAUACAAAGAGAAGCGACCUCGCGAGAGCAAGCGGACCUCAUAAAGUGCGUCGUAGUCCGGAUUGGAGUCUGCAACUCGACUCCAUGAAGUCGGAAUCGCUAGUAAUCGUGGAUCAGAAUGCCACGGUGAAUACGUUCCCGGGCCUUGUACACACCGCCCGUCACACCAUGGGAGUGGGUUGCAAAAGAAGUAGGUAGCUUAACCUUCGGGAGGGCGCUUACCACUUUGUGAUUCAUGACUGGGGUGAAGUCGUAACAAGGUAACCGUAGGGGAACCUGCGGUUGGAUCACCUCCUUACCUUAAAGAA